GGAGUCUGGGCCGUAUCUCAGUCCCAAUGUGGCCGUUCAACCUCUCAGUCCGGCUACUGAUCAUUGGCUUGGUAUGCCGUUACCACACCAACUACCUAAUCAGUCGCGAGCCCAUCUUUCGGCGAAGUUUCCUCCAUUUGAUCUUAACAAGAUGCCUCAUUUAGAUAUUAUGCGGUAUUACCGUCCGUUUCCAGACGCUAUCCCUCCCCCAAAGCCAGGUUGCUCACGUGUUACUCACCCGUCCGCCACUAUGAUUUAAAAAGCAAGCUCCUUAAAUCACCGUUCGACUUGCAUGUGUUAGGCGCGCCGCCAGCGUUGUCCUGAGCCACUGAUCAAACUACU
Molecule: ribosomal RNA, 342 nt
Filed under: uncultured Lachnospiraceae bacterium
Lineage: Bacteria; Bacillati; Bacillota; Clostridia; Lachnospirales; Lachnospiraceae
Description: partial 16S ribosomal RNA
Source: RNAcentral